GUUUACUUUUAUGUCAUAAGCUCAUCUCGUGUUUUGAUUAUUAAUAACAAACAAAACAGAAACAUAACAGUAAACAGAAACAUAACAGUAAGGAUAAGACAAUACGAAUGUUAAGAAAUAUUUAAUGAGAAAGUGUCUCUGUAUUAAACGCCGGUGUUUCAGGGGCGAACAUUCUGUGUAUGUCAUGAGUGCCGAUCAAGAACACCUUCUGAUAUUAUCCGAGGUGUUACGAAUUUAACUUCCUUUCUCCUGCUGCAGCCGAAUUUUUUGGCGCAAAUUUUACCUUUCUUCAUUUUGUGUGAAUUUAGCAAGGAAAACAGAAAAAACAACAGCAAAAGGAUGACUUUAAUGUGGCAGUGCUGAAGGCUUUAGAAUCAGAAACAGCUUACAGAAAAGGAAAAGGACCAGAAGACUCAGCCUUUGAUGCAAAUAAUUAUGCUUGAAGAUGAUGGGAAUCUUGUGAGACUUCUUUCUUCUGCACCAGAGUCGGCACCAAAGUUGGUUGCAAUUGAGAAAGAUGAAUGUAUUGUGAACAUGGCUAUUGUUUGUGAUGGUACACACAUUCUUCUAAAGACAGCCGAUUCAAUAGGGGCCCUAGCUGUGUCGAUUGAUUUGUAUUACCUUGCAGACCUAGAUUAUUCAAAGGCAUAUUCACAGGUUGGUUAAAACAAAUUUUCAACAAAUUUUAAUUAUUAUGACUCACUUCUGUUUUUAAUGCUAAAUUUCUAUUGAUCAAUUAUGUAAUAUUGUAAUAAUAAGUCACAAAAUUUUGGUUGAUGCGCAUGCUCAUUGAAAAAUGGAGUCACUGGCAUCACAUUAUAAAAUGACAUUUUGCACUAUUCACACCACUGGUGAAGAGUGCUUUAAACUUCCUUCAUAAAAUUGCAUUGACUUGUCCAUGUGUAUGUGAUUUGCCUAUCAGACUUUUAUGCUUGUUUUUGUUGAUGUCAGUUUCAGUACACUAAGAUCUCUUUUGCGAGUUAUGAAUCAAAACUUUAUUUAAAGGAAAGAAUCGAAUUGAUCUAUCUAAGAAAAUAAAUAUCCACACUUAA
This is a long non-coding RNA of Ruditapes philippinarum (Manila clam), 1052 nucleotides long. RefSeq lists it as uncharacterized. NCBI's taxonomy places the organism in Eukaryota, Metazoa, Mollusca, Bivalvia, Venerida, Veneridae. The record is from RefSeq and is a predicted model, not a curated record. The transcript has 3 exons.